RNAcentral lists this non-coding RNA (24 nucleotides) under Cricetulus griseus (Chinese hamster). The record is from RNAcentral. Lineage: Eukaryota; Metazoa; Chordata; Mammalia; Rodentia; Cricetidae.
AACUUAGACUGCUUUCGGGACUGU